Molecule: long non-coding RNA, 2487 nt
Organism: Megalobrama amblycephala (Wuchang bream)
Lineage: Eukaryota; Metazoa; Chordata; Actinopteri; Cypriniformes; Xenocyprididae
Exons: 3
Source: RefSeq, a predicted model, not a curated record
AACUAAGCAGCAAAGUAGAACUCAACACCGUUUUUGAUUGACGCUAUGGGGAACACCAUCAGUGCGACCGGCAUCUGAAGCACUUGUAAACACACGCCAAUAAACCAUUGGUAGACAGCACACGUCACACGGAGUGCCAGGGAGUUUAAAGGGGGCACCUGAAUACACAUCAUCAACAAUUUUUGUCUUCAGGAGACGUUUGUUUGUAAGUUGUAAGUUGAGUUGGGGGUGUUCGACUCCUCGAGGAGGCUGGAUGAGGUUAUUAUUAUGCAUUCGUGAGACUGACUGAAAGAGACUGCAGUCAUUGCACUAGCUCACACCAAACAGAAGUAUGUUUCUGAGACUGUCACUUGCUGCUGCACUCAUGACUUAAUUUACAUUCCCACUGAUGCCCAUGACAGAUGCUUUCUUACCAAACCCGCAUACAAGAAUGUGGCUAUGGUGUGUCGUGACAGUGUCUCCUGAGCAGCAACAGGAGCGACAGCUGUGUACACCAUUGACCUGAUGAAGACCUGCAUACAGAAAAAAAAGGUCCAAUGGAUUCUUUGAAGGUGAGCUCAUGUAUAAAUAUAGCUUUGACUGGAUAAAGAAAUGACUCCGUUAUGAAGGCCUCUUUGGCUUCUACAGAGUUAACAUCUGAACUGUCAACUGUUAUUAUAGCUGUUACUAUAGCUGUUACUGUUAGUUUGUUACUAUCAGCUCUCUUAAAAUCAGCUAUGUUACUAUCAUGUCUGAUAUAUUAAGGUUUGUUACUGUCACCUCUGCUACUAUCAUCUUGGUUGCUAUCAGCUCUGUAACUAUCAGUUACAGUCAGCUCUGUUACUGUCAUGUCUGUUAAAACUUUGUCACUAUCCUCUGUCAUAUUUAGGUUUUUACUGUCAUCCUUAUUACUAUCAACUCUUACUGUUUGCUCUGUGACUGUUAGCACUGUUACUCAGUUACUGUAUUAUAUUAGCUGUUCCUGUCAGCUCUGUUAAUAUCAGUUAUACUAUCAGCUGUUAUUUACAGCUCUGUUACCAUCAGCUCUUUUACUAUUAUGUCAUAUCUAGGUUUGUUACUGUCACCACUGUCACUAUCAGCUUUGUUACUAUCCUUUCUGUUAUAAUUAAUUUUGCUACUGUCAACUCUGUUACUAUCAACUCUGUUAGCUCUGUUACUGUCAUGUCUGUUAAAACUUUGUCACUAUCCUCUGUCAUAUUUAGGUUUUUACUGUCAUCAUUAUUACUAUCCACUCUUACUGUUUGCUCUGUGACUGUUAGCACUGUUACUCAGUUACUGUAUAAUAUCAGCUGUUACUGUCAGCUCUGUUAAUAUCAACUCUUUAUCAACUCAAUAUCAACUCUCCUUAUUACUAUCAACUCUUACUGUUUGCUCUGUGACUGUUAGCACUGUUACUCAGUUACUGUAUAAUAUCAGCUGUUACUGUCAGCUCUGUUAAUAUCAGUUAUACUAUCAGCUGUAAUUUACAGCUCUGUUACCAUCAGCUCUUUUACUAUUAUGUCAUAUCUAGGUUUGUUACUGUCACCACUGUCACUAUCAGCUUUGUUACUAUCCUUUCUGUUAUAAUUAAUUUUGCUACUAUCAACUCUGUUAGCUCUAUUACUGUCAUGACGGUUAAAAUCAGCUGUCACUAUCCUGCCUGUUAUAUUUAGGUUUGUUACUGUCAACUCUGUUACUAUCAACUCUAUAACUGUUAACUCUUUUACUUUCAGUUAGACUUUAGGCUCUCCCAUUCACCCCUGUUAGCAUCAGCUAUGUUAAAUUCAGCUUAAUAUCUGUUAUAAUAUCAGAUUUUACUGACAGCUCUGUUACUGUCAGCUAUUCUAGGCUGUUACUGUCAUCACUGUUACCAUCAGUUCUGUUAAAAUCAGCAUUGUUACUAUCAUGUUUGUUAUGUUCAGGUCUGUUACCGUUACCUCUGUUACUAUCAGCGCUGUUACUGUAAGCUCUUUUACUAUCAGUGACGAUAUUGUUUGCUUUGCAACUGUCUUUUACCAUCAGAUUUGUUGCUAUCAGAUCUUUUAACAUCAGUUCCAUUACUGUCAUCUCUGUUAAGAUCAGCUCUGUUACCUCCUUUGUAUCUGUAAUGCCUGUUACUGUCAUGUAUGUUUCUGUCAGCUAAAUUAGAUAAAGAAUGUUACUGUCAGCCCUUUUACUAUCAACUCUGUUAUUAUCAGUUAUACCAUCAGAUGUUACUGUCAAAUCUGUUACUGUCUGGUCUCUUAAAUUCAGCUUUGUCUGUUAUAUUCAGGGUAGUUAAUGUCACCUCUGUUACUGUCAGCUCUGUUUCUGUUAGCUCUGUUACUAUCAGCUUUUUUGCUAUCAAAUCUUUUUAAACCAGUUCCGUUACUGUCACCUCUGUUACCUCUUCUUUAUUAUUUACCUGUAAUGUCUGUUACUAUCUUGUGUGUUACUACCAAUUAUGUUACCAUUAGCUCUGUUAGAUAAGACCUCAAUUAUAAAUAAAAUCUCCAUUUUGAUAAACUA